RNAcentral lists this ribosomal RNA (253 nucleotides) under uncultured bacterium. RNAcentral's name for it is "partial 16S ribosomal RNA". It matches the Rfam family "Bacterial small subunit ribosomal RNA", at positions 524 to 776 of the family's 1533-position model. The record is from RNAcentral.
UACGUAGGGUGCAAGCGUUAAUCGGAAUUACUGGGCGUAAAGCGUGCGCAGGCGGUUUUGUAAGUCUGACGUGAAAUCCCCGGGCUCAACCUGGGAAUUGCGUUGGAGACUGCAAGGCUAGAAUCUGGCAGAGGGGGGUAGAAUUCCACGUGUAGCAGUGAAAUGCGUAGAGAUGUGGAGGAACACCGAUGGCGAAGGCAGCCCCCUGGGUCAACAUUGACGCUCAUGCACGAAAGCGUGGGGAGCAAACAGG